UAAUGGCCAGAGGACGGUUGCCAGGGUUACCUGAGGCCUUGAUUUCGGUGAGAGGCGGAUACCAGGAUUCCAAGAGCAGGGUUCUACUCUGAGAAUAAUUUGUAAUUAUGCAUUGAAUUACUUGCUUGAUUAUUCUAUAUCCUCUCCAAUAGACUGUAAUACCUAAAAGGCAUAUGGAAGGUGCCCAAUACAAUGCACUAUGUAUUUGUUAAAGGAAUGAAUGAAAAGCAAUGUAUUUAGUGGAGGAGGACAUCUUUGAAUGUGGACUUCACCAUGUGUUAGGGUUUUCACAUUCCCAUCUCUUUCGGUAACAUACACCAGAAUCCUGGAACUUGGUGGCCUGAGGUCAGAUCCCAUCCCUACCUCUCACUAGCUCCAUCACAUGGUCAGCUGGAGUUCAGUUGAUUGAAGCUGGGAUCAGCUGGAUUUAACUCCAAGCUACAGGUUGGGUCCACAUCUGCACCACAUGUCAUUCAUCUUUCUUGGACCAUGUGCUUUUCAGGGCAAAAGGCUGGAGGGGAAGCCAGCCCCACAAGCACAUUGUAAGCCUUUGCUUACAACAUGUCUUCUAAUAUCUCAUUGGCUAAAGCAAGUCUCAUGCCAAGCUCAACGUUAGUGGUGUAGAGAAGUGUACUCCUCCUGUGGAUUACUGAACAGCAAUUCGAUGUACCACAAUCAUGAGUGCAGA
Molecule: long non-coding RNA, 688 nt
Organism: Myotis davidii
Lineage: Eukaryota; Metazoa; Chordata; Mammalia; Chiroptera; Vespertilionidae
Exons: 4
Source: RefSeq, a predicted model, not a curated record